AAUUCUAAUUCUCACGGGGGCCUCUUUUCCACCUGCGAGAUAAGCCGUGUCGCUAUAAUUACGUUAUUUAAUAUUUGAUCAAACCUUCGCGCCACCGCGGCUCCGGGCGCCGCGCGGGCUCCCAGGGCAGCGGGCUGGCGGCGCGGCCGGAGUGGGGCCGCGCACGUGUGGCGAGGGCGCGCGGCCGCGCCUCUCGGGUCGGCUCGCCCUUUGAAUAAUUCACGACCGCAGAGUUCUGGAAAUUAAUAAAAGGAAUGAUAACAAGACGCUAAUUAAAAACUUUCGUAAUUGUUGUCAAGUCAGCCUGACGGGAGACGGACGGCCCUCUCGGACUCCCUCCCCGAAACGCGGUGCGCGGGAAGCGCCGGACGCGGGUCUGGGAGUCGGCGGCCGAGCGCUACCCCGACUCCAGCAGUCCCUUCCGAGGCGGUCUCAGGGGGGCUUCUGUGUCCUCUCCGGCUGCCGGUGGCUUUAGGACUUCGGGGCGGACAGGCUGAGGUGUGCCUUUUCCAAGCAGAACUGAUUGGGUCGAAUUUGCAGCCAGGAGGGGACCCACCCACCCCUGACCCGCCGCGAGGUUCCCGCUCUCCCACUGCGCUACCCCCAGCCCGGGGGGUUCAGCGCCCCGAAGCGCGCGAGCCGCGGCUCCCGCGUCCGUGGCGAACGACGGCGACCCGCCCGGUCGGCACUCCUGCGCCGCCUGCCCUGAGGCUUCCAGCUGCUGGAGGUCGCAGCGCCACUCGGACGGCGGGACAGCGACCGGCCAGCGGGGCCUGACCGGGUGUCAGCCAGGACCCAGAGGGCCCGAGCCGGUUAACAGCCUGAGGCCUGGGCAUCCGGCGCGCGUGCGCAGAGGUGGCCGGAGGGCGCCGGCUGCGGGGGUGGCGGGGCGCGCACCGAGCGUGCGGGGAGCGCGCCGAGCCCGCACAUGCGCGUUGCGCGCCGAGUCCCUGAGGCGAGGAGAGUUGGCGUCCCACUGCUCCAAGGUGGGCGCUCCCGGAGGUCCGGUCCCGUUCGCAACAUCUCAGCUUCAUCUACCACCUAAUUCUCAGAGUCCGUCAUCCCCAUAUUAUGUUUUUCCCUUUGAGAAGAAGAACAAGCCAAAUAAUGACCUAUCUCAAAGAAAGCAAUUGGAGCACUGACUUUAUAAUUUGAGUACUGACACUGUAAUUUAGGAGAGCCUUGUUCAUAUUUACAAAAUAAAUUCUAAAUUUACAAAUAACUUAUUCUUUAC
Molecule: long non-coding RNA, 1234 nt
Filed under: Oryctolagus cuniculus (rabbit)
Lineage: Eukaryota; Metazoa; Chordata; Mammalia; Lagomorpha; Leporidae
Description: lncRNA (ENSOCUG00000039197.1)
Source: RNAcentral